This 303-nucleotide ribosomal RNA is filed under the name uncultured fungus. RNAcentral's name for it is "SSU rRNA". It matches the Rfam family "Eukaryotic small subunit ribosomal RNA", at positions 46 to 352 of the family's 1831-position model. Lineage: Eukaryota; Fungi. The record is from RNAcentral.
AAGCCAUGCAUGUCUAAGUAUAAGCAAUCUAUACGGUGAAACUGCGAAUGGCUCAUUAAAUCAGUUAUCGUUUAUUUGAUAGUACCUUACUACUUGGAUAACCGUGGUAAUUCUAGAGCUAAUACAUGCUAAAAACCUCGACUUCGGAAGGGGUGUAUUUAUUAGAUAAAAAACCAAUGCCCUUCGGGGCUCCUUGGUGAUUCAUAAUAACUUAACGAAUCGCAUGGCCUUGUGCCGGCGAUGGUUCAUUCAAGUUUCUGCCCUAUCAACUUUCGAUGGUAGGAUAGUGGCCUACCAUGGUUU